AUGAGGGUGUUAUUCUGGAAUAUUAGGGGGUUCGGUGCUAGGGGGCGCCGUGACCAACUUAAAGAGUUGGUUCAUUCUAAUUCUAUUGACUUUGUGGGGCUGGUUGAAACCUUCAAGGAUUCCUUCUCCCCUAAUGAUUUCUCUGCUAUUGUGGGCAUGGACAUAUUUAAUUGGCAAUUUUUACCUGCUUCGGGUCACUCUGGUGGGAUAUUGAUUGGCUCCAAUAAAGAUAUUUUUGAUUUUGUUGCUUUUGAUCAUGGGAUCUUUUGGGCCAGUGUUGUUCUAUCUCAUAAAGCUAUGAAUAUUCUCUGUGAGUUUAUCGUUGUUUAUGGGUCUGCAGACCAUUCUUUGUCGGCUUUAUUCCUUAAUGAACUUUCGUUGAAGAUCGAUUCUUGUAACUUACCGAUGGUUAUCGGGGGAGACUUUAAUCUUAUGCGGUGCCCUAAUGACAAUAGUAAUGAUAACUUCUCCUGGCCUCUGGCUAAUGCCUUUAACGACUUCAUUAGUGCUAAUGCUAUUCGUGAGCUUCCCCGGGGGGAGCCCGCUAUACAUGGUCCAAUCAUCAGGCUAAUCCUAUUAGAUCUGUGCUUGAUAGAGUCUUCCUGUGUCCCAGUUGGGAUUCCUUGUUCCCUAGGGCUUCUCUUAACGCCAAAUGCAUUAUCGGUUCUGAUCGUACCCCUUAAUUCUUGA
This 690-nucleotide ribosomal RNA is filed under the name Triticum aestivum (bread wheat). RNAcentral's name for it is "partial small subunit ribosomal RNA". Lineage: Eukaryota; Viridiplantae; Streptophyta; Magnoliopsida; Poales; Poaceae. The record is from RNAcentral.